Molecule: long non-coding RNA, 359 nt
Organism: Saccostrea cuccullata (small rock oyster)
Lineage: Eukaryota; Metazoa; Mollusca; Bivalvia; Ostreida; Ostreidae
Exons: 3
Source: RefSeq, a predicted model, not a curated record
CUGGAAGGCUAUUCAUUCCCCGUGUACAACACAACGUCAUGUCCCAGGAACCUAUCAGAAUGGUAUAUUAGGUCAUCUGACCUCAACUGUACACAGAGUAAUGGAUACAUGUGUAUACCUAACGAGAACAUUACACAGCUGUUGGAGUUCUGCUACAGAUAUUUAAGGAUUCCAAUUGAAAAGGACAUCUGCUUGAUUCUAAAGAAAUCAACGUCCCUUGUUGAAGCCUACAGCUGCAAACAAUUUAGAAAUGGGUGUCCAGAUAAGCAGUACUGGAGUAAUGAAAUCUUUAAAUAUCCAAGUUGUCUAGCUAUUGGAAAUAGAUGUUUUCUUGAUGAGCCUCUGUGUAAAAAUGAAGG